This 383-nucleotide ribosomal RNA is filed under the name uncultured bacterium. RNAcentral describes it as "bacterial SSU rRNA". It matches the Rfam family "Bacterial small subunit ribosomal RNA", at positions 28 to 408 of the family's 1533-position model. The record is from RNAcentral.
GACGAACGCUGGCGGCGCGCCUAAUACAUGCAAGUCGAGCGAGAACUAGGACUUCGGUCCUGGGGACAGCGGCGAACGGGUGCGUAACACGUGAGCAACCUGCCCCGAAGACCGGGACAAGCCGGGGAAACCUGGUCUAAUACCGGAUGCCCUCACCUGCAUCGCAUGGUGUGGUGAGGAAAUGGAUUCCGCUUCGGGAUGGGCUCGCGGUCUAUCAGCUUGUUGGUGGGGUAACGGCCCACCAAGGCGACGACGGAUAGCUGGUCUGAGAGGACGAUCAGCCACACUGGGACUGAGACACGGCCCAGACUCCUACGGGAGGCAGCAGUAGGGAAUCUUGCGCAAUGGGGGAAACCCUCGACGCAGCGACGCCGCGUGCGGGA